Molecule: long non-coding RNA, 183 nt
Organism: Solanum verrucosum
Lineage: Eukaryota; Viridiplantae; Streptophyta; Magnoliopsida; Solanales; Solanaceae
Exons: 2
Source: RefSeq, a predicted model, not a curated record
AUCUCUCUAACAUUGCCUUCAUAAAUGGCAUAGAAACUCCAGACAUUGCAUUAAACAUAAGGCUAUUCAUCUCUGGGUUUUUUCCAUAGUAACUAUAAGCUGGCUCACCAUUUGCCUUCACAAAUGGCUCUAUCGAUGAAUCAUUAACGGCCUCAUGAACCAUCGUCCACGCCCUCAUUAACG